RNAcentral lists this ribosomal RNA (757 nucleotides) under Khoyollomyces ramosus. Its description in RNAcentral is "partial large subunit ribosomal RNA". It matches the Rfam family "Eukaryotic large subunit ribosomal RNA", at positions 37 to 609 of the family's 3401-position model. The record is from RNAcentral. Lineage: Eukaryota; Fungi; Neocallimastigomycota; Neocallimastigomycetes; Neocallimastigales; Neocallimastigaceae.
UGCAUAUCCCAAAAGCGGAGGAAAAGAAACUAACAAGGAUUCCCCUAGUAACGGCGAGUGAAGCGGGAAGAGCUCAAAUUUGAAAUCUUAAAGGGUUUCCCUUUACGAAUUGUAGUUUAAAGAAGUGUUUUCUGUUGAGGUUUUGGUAAAAGUUCUUUGGAAUAGGACAUCAUAGAGGGUGAGAAUCCCGUAUUUGACCUUUACUUUCAACUUUGUGAUACACUUUCAAAGAGUCGGAUUGUUUGGGAAUGCAGUCCAAAAUGGGUGGUAAAUUUCAUCUAAAGCUAAAUAUUGGCGAGAGACCGAUAGCGAACAAGUACCGUGAGGGAAAGAUGAAAAGAACUUUGAAAAGAGAGUUAAACAGUACGUGAAAUUGUCAAAAGGGAAGCGUUUGACACCAGUGUUGUUUUUCUGAAAAUCAAUUAAAGAACUGUUUAUGCUAAGUUGUUUAGACUUUAUCAGCUAUCUGUUUAGUUUUGAGCUUUUCUUUAAUGCACUUUUCAGUUAACAAGUCAACAUCAAUUUCUUUUGCUGUAAAAAAGCUUGAGGAAGGUGGCUUGAGAUUCGUCUUAAGUGUUUAUAGCCUCUUGCCUAUGCAGUCGGAGAGAUUGAGGUCUGCAGCGUAGAUCCUUCGGGGCUAAAUGCAUUUGUGCUAAGUUAUAGCAUUUUAUAGACAACUUGUUGACUAUGAUUUGUCUUGUAGCUUACUCGCUUAUGUUAUUUUACCUACGCUUAGGAUGUGACAACAGCCAACGUU